UUGCUAGGAAUUUUAGCAUAUUCUGCAUGUCUAAAUAUUUUGGGCAAAUGUUUUAAAAAUGUCAAAUAAAAAAUAUCUUAUGGUGCCAAGUACUGCAAAGCUGUCAUAAAAGUGGGUGAGAGAAGCGAAGCACGCAGGAACACAAGGCUCACAGGGCGGAGUUGUUUUCUGGAUUUUGAAAGAAAGAACCCAGCAAGAAGCAGUGAUAGAAACGAAGUGAGAAGCAAAGCUCGAAGUGAAGUAAGGAGCAAAGCGAAUACAAUAAGCAGCGCGAAAAGCAAACAAGAAGCAAAGUGAGAAGUAAGUUAAAAAGCAAAGCGAGAAACAGCAAGAAGAAAUUAAGAAGUAAUGCAAGAAGCAAUAUGAGAAGAAAAGCGAGAAGCAAACUGAAAAGCAAAGGGAAAAGCAAAGCAUGAAGAAAGUCGAUUAGCAAAGCAGCAAGCAAAGUGAGAAGCGCAACGCUAAGUGUAACUCAAAAAGGAACGUAAUAAUUAACAAAACAAGAAGUGCAAAGAGAAUCAAAGAGGAGCAAAAAUAAAAUGAAGAUCGGCAAGCAUAGCGAAAGUUGAAGAAAGAAGUAAAGCAAGAAGUUCAAGCAAAUAAAUGAGAACAAAUUUAAAUAAAAUAAAAGUAAGCCAUCAAGAGAAGUGAACAGAGAAGUAACAAAAAGAGGUAAAGCAGAAAUCGAAAGGAUUCAAAACAAGAUGCCUUGUUAAGAAGCGAACAAAUCCUAUGUCAAAUUAGUUGUGCUUUUCAACCCUUCAAGCAUUGAUGUCUCCAGUUAGCUGUGUCGAUCAACAAUUCCGGGUAAACGCAAUUCCUAAAGGACACAUCGAACCAACUCAAUCAUAUUUCAUCAAACAAAGGGCCAAAACGACAAAAUGGACGGCAAUAAAAUAAACAAAAAAAAAAAAACAAAAAAUGUUACAAAACGUGGCUGCCGUUUUUGGCCAAUUCUAAGGCCCAUUUAAAAGCGUUUGGGGAGUGGUCAGACAAUUUGGCCAGGCCAGCUGCAAAAACCCAAGGCACAGGUGUGGGCCGCAUCCGCAAUGCAAGAUAUCUUUAUCAGCAGUUACAAGCACCGCUUUAGUUCCAGUCUUGAAGCCACAUGUCUGGAAGGGUAUUUAGCAUACGACCGGUCGAAGUUAGCCCUUCUCUCUAGUUUUAUUUCAUUUGUUGGUAAUGUUAACGGUAAAGCUAUCGACAUCGGAUUGGCCUCCCAGUCGCUCGUUAUGGAUGCGCGCCAAUUGCUCCGGUUGGACUGCAGCAGACGCAACGCUUUGCCUCUUAGCCAAAUUACAUAAAUUAGUCGCGAGCUCUUUGCUGCUCUUCUUCUGCUAUUUUUUUGUUUUUUUUUGUUCUUGUUUUUGGUCUAAAUCAAAGCGCUACGAAAAUUUAAUGGACUCCUGUGUAAAGUUUGUGUUCAAAAGAAACGCACCCAAAAAAAAGGAAAUAAAAACCAGGACAGACAACAACAAAUGAAACGAAACGUCGAAUACGUGAUAUUUAGGCGAAGUCAAAAUAAAAUGCAAGGCAACUAUAAUCCAGUAGUCGACCGGGCGAUACCCUGUGGGCAGGUCUAUGCUGAAAUGGCAUUUACGUACAUAUAUUUAUCAAAACUUUAU
Molecule: long non-coding RNA, 1625 nt
Organism: Drosophila novamexicana
Lineage: Eukaryota; Metazoa; Arthropoda; Insecta; Diptera; Drosophilidae
Exons: 3
Source: RefSeq, a predicted model, not a curated record